UGCACAGACGGGUCGGUAGUCUGUGUAAGAGGUAGGGUGGGAGCGUUGUGCGUGCGUAUGCGUCGUUAAGUGCUCCUGGUCGGUCUGUGUCGUCUUGUGGGAAAAUGCAGGGCUUGACCCUGGACCUGCAUCUGGUACGGGCAGACUAGAGUGCUGUAGGGGAUAUCGGAAUUCCUGGUGUAGCGGUGAAAUGCGCAGAUAGCAGGAGGAAGACCGGUGGCGAAGGCGGAUCUCUGGGCCGUAACUGACGCUGAGGAGCGAAAGCAUGGGGAGCGAACAGGAUUAGAUACCCCAGUAGUC
This 300-nucleotide ribosomal RNA is filed under the name uncultured Methanomassiliicoccus sp. Its description in RNAcentral is "bacterial SSU rRNA". The stretch from base 64 to 300 matches the Rfam family "Bacterial small subunit ribosomal RNA", at positions 559 to 795 of the family's 1533-position model. The record is from RNAcentral. Lineage: Archaea; Methanobacteriati; Thermoplasmatota; Thermoplasmata; Methanomassiliicoccales; Methanomassiliicoccaceae.